GCUGGCGGCAGGCCUAACACAUGCAAGUCGAACGGUAACAUUUCUAGCUUGCUAGAAGAUGACGAGUGGCGGACGGGUGAGUAAUGCUUGGGAACUUGCCUUUGCGAGGGGGAUAACAGUUGGAAACGACUGCUAAUACCGCAUAAUGUCUUCGGACCAAACGGGGCUCCGGCUCCGGCGCAAAGAGAGGCCCAAGUGAGAUUAGCUAGUUGGUAAGGUAACGGCUUACCAAGGCGACGAUCUCUAGCUGUUCUGAGAGGAAGAUCAGCCACACUGGGACUGAGACACGGCCCAGACUCCUACGGGAGGCAGCAGUGGGGAAUAUUGCACAAUGGGGGGAACCCUGAUGCAGCCAUGCCGCGUGUGUGAAGAAGGCCUUCGGGUUGUAAAGCACUUUCAGUUGUGAGGAAAAGUUAGUAGUUAAUACCUGCUAGCCGUGACGUUAACAACAGAAGAAGCACCGGCUAACUCCGUGCCAGCAGCCGCGGUAAUACGGAGGGUGCGAGCGUUAAUCGGAAUUACUGGGCGUAAAGCGCACGCA
This 541-nucleotide ribosomal RNA is filed under the name uncultured bacterium. Its description in RNAcentral is "bacterial SSU rRNA". It matches the Rfam family "Bacterial small subunit ribosomal RNA", at positions 35 to 573 of the family's 1533-position model. The record is from RNAcentral.